CUUUACCCCCUAGUCUGGAGGAGUGUCCUCGGCUGCUGUCUCCUAUAAUCAGCUGCAGGCUGGCAGCUGCUAUGAAGCCCUCUUGUCGCCGACUCAGAUUUUUCACCAGCCUGAAGGAUGAAUAUUGGAUGACGUCUCCGCAUUUGAUGGUGAUGCUGUCUGGUCCAUUUUGAAGACAGUCGGCCAAAGCCCUGUAUCUGCCUGGAGCCUAACACAGAAGGAAAAACUGUCAAGCACAAACUGCACCAAAACCUCCUCCUCUGUAUCAGAUGGGUGGAAAGCGUCCCGACCUCCAGACCACUCCUCCAGACCCUCGCAGAUGUCUACCGAGUGAUGAGCGCCGGGCCAACCUGGGACACGGACAUUACUCUGGCUAUUAGAGACCUCUAAGCAGCUUCUGCUGGUUCGUUAGGAUUCUGCGCAGCUCAUUGAGCCAGGCCAUCUUCACCUCCAAUGUAGGAGCCUGACAGACAACAGAAACAUCGCAACAGGCUGAACAAGACGGUCAGCGGAUUACAACAUUCUGUAUGUACUGUACUUCUUUCUAUCAUAGGCUAGUUACAAUGCUGCCAUUUCUUCUGUUGGGCCUGUAUCUGCUGUUUGGUCAAUAAACACCCUAGUGGUAUCUAAGGUAUUUGCCAUUUUAAUUGUUAAUUAAUAUGAAAUCUUAGUGAGUACAGUAAAAGUAAGUGCUGAAUUAUUAGUCACAUACUGUCUUUAACCUGCUGAACUCGGUAGCAUUGAACUUUUUUUUAGA
Molecule: long non-coding RNA, 757 nt
Organism: Seriola aureovittata
Lineage: Eukaryota; Metazoa; Chordata; Actinopteri; Carangiformes; Carangidae
Exons: 4
Source: RefSeq, a predicted model, not a curated record